RNAcentral lists this long non-coding RNA (290 nucleotides) under Sorghum bicolor (sorghum). Its description in RNAcentral is "long non-coding RNA (SBIC_LNC009098)". The record is from RNAcentral. Lineage: Eukaryota; Viridiplantae; Streptophyta; Magnoliopsida; Poales; Poaceae.
UCUAGGUCCCCAAACUAUGAAAUCGCUCGUCUGACUCUCUAAUGUAUUUAGGUGAUCUCAUCUAGGUCCCCAAACUACGAAAUCGUACGUCUGACUCCCUAAUGUAUUUAAGUGAUCUCAUAUAGGUCCAAAAUACACAUAAGGAGGGUUAGAAAGCUAACAUGAUCAUCCACAUGGAUAUGAUUUAAGCACAUGAUCCCUGAUUUAAGUCCACAGGUGCAGCCGUUGGCUCGUCCCUGCUCACCAUCACAGCGCCCACGGCAUACGAUCUGGUCAUGUAGACGGCAAUG